This 760-nucleotide long non-coding RNA is filed under the name Crocodylus porosus (Australian saltwater crocodile). RNAcentral's name for it is "lncRNA (ENSCPRG00005004142.1)". Lineage: Eukaryota; Metazoa; Chordata; Crocodylia; Crocodylidae. The record is from RNAcentral.
UUCCUCUCUAAGCACCAAGUUAACAAAGAUCAGUAAAGGAAUUAUUAUGCAUUUCUUCAUUUAAGCCAGACUUCCAGUUUUUCCAGCUGUUGUAAGUUUAUUUUUCUUGGCAAUAAAAAUCACUCCUCCCACUAAGUUGAUGCUCAGAACAGACUCUGAAUAGUGGACAAGUUUGCAGAGCAGUGAAUAACUACACCACAUACAAAGGAAUGCAGGUCGUCUCGCAGCCUCUCACUCAAACCAGCGAGAACUUCUUGUCUACAUCACCCUUCCACUGGCAAAUAACAUUGAGUACUUCUUCCCAUCUGUCUUCACUGACUUCUCUAAGACAUCAACAAAUCAGAUGUCAAUCAGGCCUUCCUGCACAACCCACUAGACUGCAGAACAUCCUUCCCCUCUUUCAUAUUUCUUGGGUUUUCUUCUCUUUUUACUAUAGAUUAAGCAUUUCCAGACUCACUGGAACUCCACACCUUUAGGCAAUAUCUUGAGUGGCCACUAUAAAAACAACUGAUAGUGUUUCAUGAUGUUCAUCAUUCCUGCAGCACUUGUCCGAACACUAGCCCAGUAAAUCCUUUUAAUAUUGCAGUAGAUUGGGAUUUUUACUUUUGUUUUUUCGUUUUUAGCCAGCAGGGCAUACAGAUCAUGGCCACGCUAAAGGAACAUGAAAUGUUUUUGAUUCUGUUUAAUGAUGGGGACGUUUAAAUAGCCACGACUAGAGAAGAUCAAAUUAGUCAUUGUGAAUACCAUUUGUUGCUAAUUC